Molecule: long non-coding RNA, 387 nt
Filed under: Mytilus galloprovincialis (Mediterranean mussel)
Lineage: Eukaryota; Metazoa; Mollusca; Bivalvia; Mytilida; Mytilidae
Source: RNAcentral
CAGUGUUCUCCCCAGGAUUUUUGGAUAGCACCAGGGUAACGCGUGUCGACAUGAUUUGUACAAUAUGUUGUGUCGCGUUGCAUCGCUUAUUUUUUCUUCUUGUUAGUUUUUGUGCCAUUACCUUUUCGUCUUUUGUUUUGUUUACUGUGUUAUGUAGACUUUGGGUAAAAAAAAUACUGGUAAAAAAAAGUAAAUCAAACAGUUAGUAUACUUUAAUAUCUUUUAAGAAUAAAUAAAAGAAAGCACUUUUAGUCUUUAAACUAGUCACUUUUUAUACUUUGAUCAAGCCAAUUUUGUCCUGAUACUUGCACAUAUAGUUACACUACACAUUCCCCACUUUUGUUAGAUUACACCAUAACAAUUAACUUUAAACAAGAUUAAAUUUUA